AUGUCCUUAAGCAGCAAGCCACGCCAGCAGCAGCAGCUCAUGGCGUUCUGGGCAUCGUUGCUGCUGGUGCACCUGGGCGGACAGGACACCAUCACUGCCUACGCCAUAGAAGACAACAACCUCUGGCUGCGCCAUCUGUUCACUCUGGUGGUGCAGGCUGCCGGAGCAGCCUAUGUGUUGUACAAGUACGUCGCCGCAGGCAGCUGGACCUUGCUCGCCGCAGCUGUCUUGAUGUCCUUUGUGGGUGUUAUCAAGUACGGUGAGAGGAUAUAUGCUCUCAGGUCCUCCGGCCUUGACAACAUCAGCAACUUCCUCGACAACUUUGAGGUACCCCGCGGGGAGGCCAGUUACCCGGUACUCUUAACCAAUUUAGAUGAAGAAGAGGUCUUGCAGGGAGCUCAUGAUCUUCUGCCCAUCUGCAUGGGCCAGUUGGUCGACAACAAUGUCAGACCAUCCGGGUUCCGGUAUGGAGCCAUAAACGCGUAUCACAAUCCUGCCAAUGCUGAUCGCACUGCCGGGCGGAGCAUGCUGCCACAGCUGAUCGGGAUGCAGCUCUCGCUGAUGCGUGACCUCCUCUACACCAAGGCUGCGGUGAUCCACAGGACGUCGUACGGAUGCAUUUCCCGCAUCUUCUCCACGGUCUGCACCAUCGUGGCUUUCUACCUCUUCCGGCAGUCCACUAUGGCUGGCGCCGGUUACAGCAAGGGUGACAUGGCGGUCACCUACAUCCUGUUGGCCGGGGCCUUUUUCCUGGAGCUGGCAUCGCUGUCAAGGGCAUUUCUGUCAACUUGGACAUGCACAUGGCUAAAAGCCGCGGGAUGGAACCGGCUCCAUGCGGCAUUGGUGUGGCUUCGCAGGGGCGUCAAGGCUGCUCAAAGAUGCAGGAGGUGGUCAGGCUCCAUCGGGCAGCACGACCUGUUGGAAUAUCACAUGCAUGGUAAGAGCGGCCUAGUAUACACGAUAGCGUCUUUCGUUGGGCUGGAGCACCGGUGGAACAGGCUGAGGUUCUUCCAUCCCUUGGUGAUCUCACUCGAUCUGCAUGACUUGUUGGUGCGCGAGAUAGAGCGCAUGGUGGAAGCUAGUGGAACAACUUAUGAUUCGCGCAACCUGGAUCAGUGGCGUCGAAGCCGAGCGGCUGUUGGUGCAUGGGUUACUGGUGGUGCCGGUGCUCAAUUCUACACUGGUGCCACUGGGGCUGAAGGAGAGGACGGUUUUGACGCGGAAGAGGCUGGUUUCGACGGCACAAUACUCGCCUGGUGCUACGCCACACACGCCUUCCUCGACUUUUUCGAUUUAUGUUGCACGCUGCCGUUGGCUGAGCGGCUGCAUGCCAGGGCACCAAUUUACAUGGACCGUCAGGUCCAAGCCAUGAGCAGCCAAGACAAGGAACGGCAACAGGGCCUCGCUAAAGCAAUCCGGGUAUUGUCAAGAUACAUGGUGUUCCUCCUUGUGGAGCAGCCUCAUUUGCUGCCAAGCCCUGUUCGACGCAGCAAGUACGACAGCUUCUGCAUGGCGUACAGGGAAUUCCCAAGAAUCUCGGAUUUGCUAGGAGCGGCGGAUAUGAGCCAAGAUUACGGGGUCCUCCGCCCGGCCGUACAUCUUGCGAAUAGACUGCUGGCCAGGUGCGAGCAUAUGGGGGCGCAGGACGUCUUGCUGGUCAUGUCCCAGGUGUGGGUGGAGAUGUUGUGCUACGCCGCAAGCCACUGCAACCACGAAGCCCAUGCAAGGCAGCUCAGCAGCGGCACCGAGUUCAUCACCGUCGUGCUGAUCCUCUCCACCACCUUGAAGAACGGCUUUCGUUCUCAGUAA
RNAcentral lists this ribosomal RNA (1809 nucleotides) under Triticum aestivum (bread wheat). RNAcentral describes it as "partial small subunit ribosomal RNA". The record is from RNAcentral. Lineage: Eukaryota; Viridiplantae; Streptophyta; Magnoliopsida; Poales; Poaceae.